Alnus glutinosa is the source of this 730-nucleotide long non-coding RNA. RefSeq lists it as uncharacterized. Lineage: Eukaryota; Viridiplantae; Streptophyta; Magnoliopsida; Fagales; Betulaceae. The transcript is spliced from 4 exons. The record is from RefSeq and is a predicted model, not a curated record.
UCAAGUGAAGGGCUUAGCCCUUCACUCAAAUGGCCAGGUGGCCAUUUUAAUUAAAUGGCCGAAUGGCCUUAUCAAAGAGGCAAUGCCUCUUCGUUUCUAUUUUUGGAACAGCAGGGGCUCCUUUUCAAUUUUUUCUCUUUUGGAUUUUCAUAGAAAAUUUACGAUCUGUAAAGAUCCAACGGUCCAAUCUUAGAUCCGAUUUCGGCAACGCAAUCUUUGAAGCCUGAUCUACAUUUUGACCGAACGUUUUGAGAUUUUGUGUGGUUUGGAGUUGCUAGGAGCUUCCCGAGCAUCGGGUCUUGGUGUGGUGAAUUUUUGCGGCAUGUUACGGUUGAGCUUAGAGUCGUUUGGAUAUUGGGAGUACAAGCAAACUGAGAUGAUGUUUGUUUAGCUGCAGGUACUACGGUAUAGUCGAUGGGUCGGUAGUAGUGUGCUUGGGAUAAUAUGACUGAAGCUCACCGCGACGGUUGUAAUUGUCGGACCACGGGCUGUUCACUGUUUUAUAGGUUUGGUAUAGCUUGUGACGUUUGUGUCACAUAUUCUUUGUAAAGUCAUAGUUGUUUUGUAAAUAUUGUGUUAAUAAGACUCAAACAGAUAGAUGUUAAAUGGCUCUUUGUUGUAAUUAAUUUGUGAUAGAUGUAUAAGUUGUAAUUUCCGCUAUUCAGAUUUAUGUUUUCCGCUGCAUAGAUAGAUGUAUGUUAUACUCUGAUUAUCAUGUACAUGUUAUGGG